CAGAGACUGCAAGCGUUAUUCGGAUUCACUGGGCGUGAAGGGUGCGCAGGCGGUUGGGUGUGUCAGAUGUGAAAUCCCGAGGCUUAACCUCGGAACUGCGUCUGAAACUACUCGACUAGAGUACUGGAGAGGGUAACGGAAUUCACGGUGUAGCAGUGAAAUGCGUAGAUAUCGUGAGGAACACCAGAGGCGAAGGCGGUUACCUGGACAGUUACUGACGCUCAGGCACGAAAGCAUGGGGAGCAAAAGGGAUUAGAUACCCCUGUAGUCCAUGCCCUAAACGGUGCACACUAGGUCUUAGCGGAUUCGACCCCACUAGGGCCCAAGCUAACGCGUUAAGUGUGCCGCCUGAGGACUACGGUCGCAAGACUA
RNAcentral lists this ribosomal RNA (372 nucleotides) under uncultured organism. Its description in RNAcentral is "bacterial SSU rRNA". It matches the Rfam family "Bacterial small subunit ribosomal RNA", at positions 526 to 896 of the family's 1533-position model. The record is from RNAcentral.